GGGGCUGAUUCUGGAUUCGACGGGAUUUGCGAAACCCAAGGUGCAUGCCGAGGGGCGGUUGGCCUCGUAAAAAGCCGCAAAAAAAUAGUCGCAAACGACAAAACCUACGCUUUAGCAGCUUAAUAACCUGCUUAGAGCCCUCUCUCCCUAGCCUCCGCUCUUAGGACGGGGAUCAAGAGAGGUCAAACCCAAAAGAGAUCGCGCGGAUGCCCUGCCUGGGGUUGAAGCGUUAAAACGAAUCAGGCUAGUCUGGUAGUGGCGUGUCCGUCCGCAGGUGCCAGGCGAAUGUAAAGACUGACUAAGCAUGUAGUACCGAGGAUGUAGGAAUUUCGGACGCGGGUUCAACUCCCGCCAGCUCCACCA
RNAcentral lists this transfer-messenger RNA (363 nucleotides) under Salmonella enterica. RNAcentral's name for it is "Standard tmRNA". It matches the Rfam family "transfer-messenger RNA". Rfam says of the family: Bacterial tmRNA, also known as 10Sa RNA or SsrA, is named for its dual tRNA and mRNA-like properties. Its role is to liberate the mRNA from a stalled ribosome. To accomplish this part of the tmRNA is used as a reading frame that ends in a translation stop signal. The record is from RNAcentral. RNAcentral also lists the same sequence under 2 other names. Lineage: Bacteria; Pseudomonadati; Pseudomonadota; Gammaproteobacteria; Enterobacterales; Enterobacteriaceae.